RNAcentral lists this unclassified non-coding RNA (200 nucleotides) under soil metagenome. RNAcentral's name for it is "partial contains internal transcribed spacer 2 and large subunit ribosomal RNA". The record is from RNAcentral.
UGCCCUCAAGCCCGGCUUGUGUGUUGGGCCCUGUCCCCCUCUCCGGGGGACAGGCCCGAAAGGCAGCGGCGGCACCGAGUCCGGUCCUCGAGCGUAUGGGGCUUUGUCACCCGCUCUGUAGGCCCGGCCGGCGCCAGCCGACAACCCAUCAUCCUUUUCAGGUUGACCUCGGAUCAGGUAGGGAUACCCGCUGAACUUAA